RNAcentral lists this ribosomal RNA (3067 nucleotides) under Ganoderma sichuanense. Its description in RNAcentral is "large subunit ribosomal RNA". It matches the Rfam family "Bacterial large subunit ribosomal RNA". The record is from RNAcentral. Lineage: Eukaryota; Fungi; Basidiomycota; Agaricomycetes; Polyporales; Polyporaceae.
CAAACAGUAAUUCAAAGGGGUUAUUAAGGAAAAACUAGCAAAUUUAUAAAAAAGGAGGGCACAAGUCCAAAAGCCACAAUUUACCGAAAGGUGAUCAAGUUUCAUUAGAUUUAUUUAAUGUUGACAAAGAAUGUAGGCGAUCCUAAGGGAAACCUUUAUAUUUAAACUUCCCGAAGUAAAACAUUUCAUUAGGGAAAGGAAAGGAAAUCAACCGAGACUCCGAAAGUAAUGGCGAGUGAAAUCGGACUAGCCUUUAUUUAAAAAUAAAUUUAACAAAAAUACACACCAGAAACCAAAGAAGGUAAAACAGUCCUGUAUGUUAAAUCUUUUUAAAACUAAUGUUUAAAUAAGUAUUAUUAAAUUAAAAUUUAUUUAAAUAAUGAGUACGACGAGAGCGAACUUGUCGGAAUAUAGGGGAACCAUCCUCUAAGGCUAAGUAUUUAUAAAUUUAGCGAUAGUGAAAAGUACCGUGAGGGAAAGUUUGAAAUAGUUAUGUAAUUUUAGACAUAAAUGAAAUAGUUGAAUUAGUAACUCUAUAAGCAGUCGAAAUUUAUAAUUAUAAAUGACGGCGUACCUUUUGCAUAAUGGGUCAGCAAGUUAAUAGGAGUAGCAAGGUUAAAAGCCUUAGUGAAAGCGACCACACUAACUAGCUAAAAGUAUUCUUAAUUUCAUAGAUAUUAAGAAUAGGAUAUCCUUCAUAGUCAUAAGGCUAAGAAGUUAAAUAUUUUCUAGGAAUAUAGUGAUGGGUAAGUUACUUCUAUUAGACCCGAAGCUAGGUGAUCUUCCUAAGACCAGAUUAUAAUGGAUCGAACGGGUGAAUGUAGCAAAAUUCUCCGAAGAGUUUUAGGAAGCGGUGAAAUGCCAAUCUGACCUAGUGAUAGCUGGUUUUCUACGAAACAUAUGUAAGUAUGACAUCUAAACAAAAUUUAUGGUGGUACAGCACUGAGUUCCCAACUAUUUCUUUUUUUUAAAGAAAAGUUUAGGUUGCGGGGACGUCGAAAAUCUUACCAAUGGAAGAGAAUCUCGGAAUGACAUAAAUUGAUGAUAGAUAUUCAGACUGCUCAUGCGAAGUUGGGUAGUCAAGACGGAAACAGCCGAGAACACGAAACAAGGUCCCAAAUGAUUUUUAAGUGAAAUGAAGGAAGUAAUAUAUUGAAUGCAGCUGUAAAGUGAGCCUGGUAGUCGCUAUCUUUUAAUAAACGUAAUGUAACAACGUAGCAGCCUUAAACAAUAGAAUAUUACACCAAAAAUUUAACGGGUCUCAAAAAAUCAACCGAUAUCGUGUUUAUUUUGAAUAAUAAAAAUUAAUAUUCAAUAUACAGGUAGUAGAACAUUCAGUAUACUGAUGAUAAAACAGUGUUUCAUUGUUUUUAGGUCACUGAAGAGAGAAUGCUGACAUGAGUAACGUAAAAAGAAGUUAUAAUACUUCUCGCCGAAUACGAAAGGGUUGUAAGGAAAGGUUAAACCACCUUAUGUUAAUGCGGCCUCUAAGGAACAAAACCAAAGUUUUGUCUGAUGAGUAUGAAUUAGAAAGUCCAUUUUUAAAAAUAAAAAUUUAAUAAAGGGACCAGGAAAAGAAUAUAUUCUUAACUACCGUACCCUAAACCGACACAGGUUCGUAAGUAGAGUAUACUAAGGCGUAGAGCUAAAAGUUGUUAAGGAACUCGGCAAGUUCUCCUCAUAAGUUUGACGAUAAGAGGAACCCGAUAAGGGUGGCACAAAAUCGGAGGCCCCGACUGUUUACUAAAAACACAAUUCAGAGCAAUGAUGAAAAAUCAUAGUAUUCUGGAUGAAAUUUGCCCAAUGCCAUUAACAUAAAAGAGGUUAUGGGUAACUGUAACUGAUUGAAAGUCUGGUUAAUAGCGGUCUUAACUAUGAGGAUCCAAAGGUAGCAAAAUAAAUUGGCCAUUAAAUGUGGUCUGGUAUCAAUAGUGUAACGAUGGUCUCACUGUCUCUACAACUUGCUCAGUGAAAUUGAAUUACCCGUGCAGAUGCGGGUUGCCUCCAGGUGGACGGGAAGACCCUAUGCAGCUUUACUGUAGUUAGCUAUCAUAUUGAUCUACAACAACCUUAGUUAAUAGUAAUUAGGGAUGUCGAAUUGACGAAAGAUGGAAUACCUUCUGACUUUGGUUGGGUUAAUAUUUACCUUUUUAAGUAAAAUAUUAUAUAUGACUCAAAAUUUUCUUUUGUUUAUUCUAUUCAUAUUCUGUUAUAUAGUGUAAUAUGGUAUAAAGCUUAUAAGGGAUAGGUGGCUAAUUGGCAGUUUGACUGGGGCGGUCGUCUUUGAUAAAGUAGCAAAGUACAUCCAAAGAUAUUUAUUUAUUAGAAACAAUCUUUUUUUAAAAAGAUACUUACUAAAAAUUCAUAGUAUCUAUAUAAACUAUGAAGAAUAUAAUUUAUUAUAUUUUUAUUAACUUAAGGUAUAGCUAGAAAAUUGAAUGGAAAUCAAUCAACCAGUGUGAAAGGUUGUAAUAGGCGUAAUGGCGGAAAGCAUGCCUAACUGAAAGACUUAGAAGUCGAACAGAUACGUAAGUAGGGCAUAGUGACCCUUCGCUAUAUUAUGGAAUAGACGGGGAUCAAUCGAUAAAAGUUACGCUAGGGAUAACAGGCUGAUAGCUGGUGAGAGUACACAUUGUCCCGGCUGUUUGGCACCUCGAUGUCGACUCAACCUAUCCUCCGGGGGUAGAAGCUUGGAAGGGUUCGGCUGUUCGCCGAUUAAAAGGUUACGCGAGUUGGGUUUAAUACGACGUGAGUCAGUAUGGUCCCUAUCUUCUGGAGGGAUAUAUAUGAAAGAGAGUAGACUUUCUAGUACGAAAGGAUCAAUAAGCUGUGUUUCUCUUGUGUACCAAUUGUUCACCUAAUAUUUCUCUCCAGGAAGAUAGGUGGGCAUAGUUGGGUAGCUACAAACAUGUUAGAUAAGUGCUGAAUGAAUCUAAAGCACGAAGCUAUCUCUCAGACAUAUAAAAAUUAUCUAAAAUUUAAAAAAUUUUUUAUUAUAAAAACUCUUCUUAUUCACAUUGAUUAAAAAGAAAACUAAUAAAAUAUCAAUUAAAAAGAUAAUCAAUAA